This 63-nucleotide ribosomal RNA is filed under the name Cordyceps tenuipes. RNAcentral describes it as "partial 28S rRNA". It matches the Rfam family "Eukaryotic large subunit ribosomal RNA", at positions 1 to 61 of the family's 3401-position model. RNAcentral also lists the same sequence under 2 other names. The record is from RNAcentral. Lineage: Eukaryota; Fungi; Ascomycota; Sordariomycetes; Hypocreales; Cordycipitaceae.
GUUGACCUCGGAUCAGGUAGGACUACCCGCUGAACUUAAGCAUAUCAAUAAGCGGAGGAAAAG